AUCCAUCUGACAAGUCCCACAUAAGAUGAAACGCUCGUCGUGGAU
Schistosoma rodhaini is the source of this 45-nucleotide non-coding RNA. Lineage: Eukaryota; Metazoa; Platyhelminthes; Trematoda; Strigeidida; Schistosomatidae. The record is from Rfam.